GACAAAAGGGAAUGGAGGCAAUUUCGGAAUUACCCCUCCGAUCUGGCACUCACUCGCGUGUUCAAAUCCUGAAUUCCAUUUGGAGCACUCUUUUUUUUCCUUCUUCCGCCUCUUCUUCUUCUCUUGCGCUCCUUGUUUCUCAACACUUUGGGUUGCGUCUCCUAGAGACAGAGAGACAGAGGGACCUUCUCCUCCUUCUUCUUCUUCUCCUUCUUCUCUUGUCCAUGGACCUUCACAACCGACCAGAUCACUGUUUCCCGGAGAAGAAAGGUCAGAAGAGGAAGUUGGAGGAGGAUUUCGAAGACGACCGACAGAUCUCCGCCCCUCCCACCGGCCACGCUCGAGACGCCCUCCUCUCCGACGUCAACGAACAGGUUAUCGUCCUCGAUUCCACCUUCUCAUGGAAGGAAUCCGAUCGUGCUGCCGCCAAGCGCGCCACGCACGCCCUCGCCGAUCUCGCCAAGAACGAGGAAGUGGUGAACGUGAUUGUUGAAGGAGGCGCAAUUCCUGCUUUGGUUAAACAUCUUCAAGCGCCUCCUCUGGCUGGAAGCGACCGGUUGCAGAGGCCAAUGCCGUUUGAGCACGAGGUCGAGAAAGGUAGUGCUUUCGCGCUUGGACUUCUCGCAGUCAAGCCGGAGCACCAGCAGCUCAUCGUUGACAGUGGUGCUUUGAAACAUCUCGUUGAUCUUUUGAAGAGACAUGAAAAUGGCUUAACAUCUCGUGCCAUUAAUAGUCUAAUUCGUAGGGCUGCAGACGCGAUUACUAAUCUUGCUCACGAGAACAGCAGUAUUAAGACUCGUGUCAGGAUGGAAGGUGGGAUUCCACCGCUAGUUCAUUUACUUGAAUUUGCGGAUACAAAGGUGCAAAGAGCAGCUGCUGGUGCAUUGCGAACCCUGGCUUUCAAAAAUGAUGAAAAUAAAAAUCAGAUUGUUGAAUGCAAUGCCCUUCCAACUCUGAUUCUAAUGCUCCGUUCAGAAGAUGCUGCUAUUCAUUAUGAAGCGGUUGGUGUGAUUGGAAAUCUGGUCCACUCUUCCCCUAACAUAAAGAAAGAAGUUCUUCUUGCUGGAGCCCUACAACCGGUCAUUGGAUUACUUAGCUCCUGUUGCUCUGAAAGCCAGAGGGAAGCAGCCUUGUUACUUGGACAGUUUGCAGCAACUGAUUCAGACUGCAAGGUUCACAUUGUUCAGAGGGGUGCUGUCCGACCUCUGAUAGAGAUGCUUCAGUCCCCUGAUGUUCAGCUAAAAGAAAUGUCUGCUUUUGCAUUGGGGAGAUUGGCCCAGGACACACAUAACCAAGCUGGUAUUGCACACAAUGGUGGCUUGAUUCCAUUACUGAAGCUUCUUGACUCAAAAAAUGGGUCUUUGCAACAUAAUGCUGCUUUUGCUCUUUAUGGCCUUGCAGAUAAUGAGGAUAAUGUGGCCGAUUUUAUUAGGGUAGGUGGAAUUCAGAGACUGCAGGAUGGAGAGUUUAUUGUUCAAGCAACUAAGGAUUGUGUUGCAAAGACAUUGAAAAGAUUAGAAGAGAAGAUUCAUGGGCGAGUGCUGAACCAUUUGUUAUAUCUCAUGCGAGUUUCAGAGAAGGCUUUUCAAAGAAGAGUUGCUUUGGCUCUUGCUCACCUUUGUUCUGCAGAUGACCAGAGAAAAAUAUUUAUCGAUCACCAUGGUUUGGAGUUGCUUAUGGGCCUUCUUGGCUCGUAUUAUAACCCUAAGCAACAACUUGAUGGAGCUGUGGCUUUAUGCAAGUUGGCCAAUAAAGCCACAACUCUGUCUCCCGUAGAUGCUGCACCCCCAUCUCCCACACCCCAGGUCUAUUUGGGAGAGCAGUAUGUAAACAAUGCCACCUUGUCUGACGUUACAUUUCUGGUUGAAGGCAAACGAUUUUAUGCUCACAGAAUUUGUCUGCUUGCAUCUUCAGACGCAUUUCGUGCUAUGUUUGAUGGAGGUUAUAGGGAGAAGGAGGCACGGGACAUAGAGAUUCCAAACAUUAGAUGGGAGGUUUUUGAGCUGAUGAUGAGAUUUAUAUACACUGGAUCAGUUGAGAUCACGCUUGAUAUUGCCCAAGAUCUCCUCCGAGCAGCUGAUCAAUAUCUUUUAGAAGGACUCAAGAGACUCUGUGAGUACACGAUUGCACAGGAUAUAUCACUUGAGAGCGUAUCAAGUAUGUAUGAACUUUCUGAAGCAUUUAAUGCUAUAUCGUUGAGGCACACAUGCAUUCUUUUUAUCUUGGAACACUUUGAUAAAUUGAGUGGAAAGCCAGGACACUCCCAUCUGAUUCAGCGUAUAAUACCUGAGAUCCAGAAUUACUUUGUUAAAGCCCUUACAAAGGCCAAUUCCAACAAUCACCCGUAGAAUUUACUGUUCUAUUUGACAUCUAACCAGUUGCAAUGUACAUAAUGCGGUCGAUGUUAAUUGAACCUGCGAAGGAAGUCUCCUGGAUUGAGUGCAGCAUGGCUUAAAAAAUUCUAACAUCAGGUCGUGUACGUUCUUUUCUGAUGCAGUAACUUCUGGUGAGUUUUCCCGUGAGCAGAUGGAAGGUCUUGUUGGAAAAAGGCUUUGAUUGUUAUUUUUGAAGACAAAUAAGAAAAGGAUUGAACUGCUUUUUUCUUGGGCAGUACUACAAUCGAGGAAAAAGAAUCCCCUCAAGUCACUCCCAACGGUGUACUUUCACUUGGAAUGGGCCAAUCGGCCAAACUCAAGUCUUUUUAUGCUUGUUUCAUGAUUAGAGUAGACUGCAAGUCAUUCUCUGCACGUGUAUGAGAUAGUGCAGGCUGUCCUUACCACAACAGCAACAAGCAUCUUAGAACACCCAUGAUGAGCCAAGCUAGGAGCCCCAGGAGCCAUUGGAUUGAUCAUGGGCAUCAGAGUAAACAAAGUUCCUAAUCAAGGACGGAUGGGCCUCUUCAAACCCAUAACAGGUUCGCGUACGCACGGCUUUGAACCCCAGAAGUAAGCAUGGUUAAGAUAAACACCAUGAACUUUUACACAACCUGGUAAAGCUUCAACCUCAGCACGCAUGGCUAUAUUAUGAACAAUACUAACACAGCAGCGACGGCCCCAACAAAUAUCUUGCUGAAACAACCAUGGUUGAUGAGCCACUUGUCGCUGUUGGUGGGAUUUGGGGUUGCAUGGGAAGCAACCCAUUUGAAACCAGCCCUACAAUCAUGAUAAACUGUUAGGUUGCAGAAUUUCUACGCUCUAUGGAAACGAUUAUAACAUUUCCAGAGAAGCUACUAGGUUGCAGAAUUUGGUGUUCAGAGCAGAAGCCAGCUCCAUUGGAGUAUAUACUAAAAUGAGGAUUUUUUUGGUUGGGUAGAGUUAGUUUUAGACGGAAAAGUUUGAGAAGAGAAUGUGUUGUAUGAGAGAGCGUGGGUGGACUGAGGGAGGAGUUCUUGGUUGGUCAUUAGGACGUUGGAUGGAGCCAUCGUUGUAGACAUGUAACAUUUCAAGAAUGCAAAAUUUAAUCACAACACUUUCCAAUCA
This is an unclassified non-coding RNA of Vigna unguiculata (cowpea), 3479 nucleotides long. The record is from RefSeq and is a predicted model, not a curated record. Lineage: Eukaryota; Viridiplantae; Streptophyta; Magnoliopsida; Fabales; Fabaceae.